Molecule: ribosomal RNA, 437 nt
Filed under: uncultured Acidobacteriota bacterium
Lineage: Bacteria; Pseudomonadati; Acidobacteriota
Description: bacterial SSU rRNA
Rfam family: Bacterial small subunit ribosomal RNA
Source: RNAcentral
AACGCUGGCGGCGUGCCUAACACAUGCAAGUCGCACGAGAAAGGGUAGCAAUACCUGAGUAAAGUGGCGCACGGGUGAGUAACACGUGAAUUAUCUACCUCCGAGUGGGGAAUAACUGAGAGAAAUCUUAGCUAAUACCGCAUAACACUUACGAGUCAAAGCAGCAAUGCGCUUGGAGAGGAGUUCGCGGCCGAUUAGUUAGUUGCCGGGGUAAUGGCCCACCAAGACGAUGAUCGGUAUCCGGCCUGAGAGGGCGCACGGACACACUGGAACUGAAACACGGUCCAGACUCCUACGGGAGGCAGCAGUGGGGAAUUUUGCGCAAUGGGGGAAACCCUGACGCAGCAACGCCGCGUGGAGGAUGAAAUAUCUUGGUAUGUAAACUCCUUUCGAUGGGGAAGAUUAUGACGGUACACAAGAAGAAGCCCCGGCUAAGA